GGCAUGGUGGAUCAGUGGUUAGAGCGCCCGCCUCAUGAACGGGAUGUCGUGGGUUCGAACCCCCCGGCCGAGUCA
This is a non-coding RNA of Strongylocentrotus purpuratus (purple sea urchin), 75 nucleotides long. Lineage: Eukaryota; Metazoa; Echinodermata; Echinoidea; Camarodonta; Strongylocentrotidae. The record is from Rfam.